UCUCCGUAGGUGAACCUGCGGAGGGAUCAUUACAGAGUUCAUGCCAUACCGGGUAGAUCUCCCACCCUAUGUUAUUAUUACUUUGUUGCUUUGGCGGGCCGUUAGGCUCCGGCCCGACUACCGGCCCCGGCUGGUAAGCGCCCGCCAGAGGACCCAAAACCCUGAAUAUUAGUGUCGUCUGAGUACUAUAUAAUAGUUAAAACUUUCAACAACGGAUCUCUAGGUUCUG
Molecule: unclassified non-coding RNA, 229 nt
Filed under: plant metagenome
Description: partial contains small subunit ribosomal RNA, internal transcribed spacer 1, and 5.8S ribosomal RNA
Source: RNAcentral